This 757-nucleotide non-coding RNA is filed under the name Cricetulus griseus (Chinese hamster). RNAcentral's name for it is "Eukaryotic small subunit ribosomal RNA". It matches the Rfam family "Eukaryotic small subunit ribosomal RNA", at positions 751 to 1536 of the family's 1831-position model. The record is from Rfam by way of RNAcentral. Lineage: Eukaryota; Metazoa; Chordata; Mammalia; Rodentia; Cricetidae.
GAAAAGGAGAAAAAAUGGAAAUACAAACUGUGUGCAGUAUCUGCUCUGAGCUGUAAACAUCAAUGCAGAAUUUUUGGCAGAUGGCAUGGUUCUAUUUUGUUGGUUUUCAGAACUGAGGUCAUAAUUAAGAGGGAUGCUUGGGGGCAUUCCUAUUGUGUCACUAAAGGUGAAAUUCUUGGACCAGUGCAAGACCAGAGGGAAAGCAUUUGCCAAGAAUGUUUUCAUUAAUCAAGAAAAAAAGUCGGAGGUUCAAAGACGAUCAGACACUGUCAUAAUUCUGACCAUAAAUGAUGCUGAAGCGUUAUUCCCUUGAUCCCCGAGCAGCUUCCGAGAAACAUAAGUCUUUGGGUUCUGGGGGAAUAUGGUUGCAAAGCAGAAACUUAAAGUAAUUGAUGGAAGGGCACCACUAGGAGUGGAGCCUGUGGCUUAAUUUGACUCAACACGGGAAACAUCACCCAGUCCGGAUGUGGACAUGAUUGACAGAUUAAUAGCUCUUUCUCGAUUCCAUGGGUGGUGGUGCAUGUCCGUUCAUAGUUGGUAGAGCGAUUUGUCUGGUUAGUUCUGAUAAGGAAGGAGACUCCGGCAUGCUAACUAAUUAAGUGACCCCGAGCUGUCAGCACCUCCCUCCCCGACUUCUUAGAAGGACAAGUGGCGUUCAAACAUCCAAUUGAGAAAUAACAGUUCUUUGAUGCCCUUAGAUGUCUGGGUUGAACACACACAACACUGACUGGCUCAGCGUGUGCCUACUUUAUGCUGG